Molecule: ribosomal RNA, 308 nt
Filed under: uncultured bacterium
Lineage: Bacteria
Description: partial 16S ribosomal RNA
Rfam family: Bacterial small subunit ribosomal RNA
Source: RNAcentral
GAGACAGCAGUCGCCGCGGUAAUACGGAGGAUCCAAGCGUUAUCCGGAAUCAUUGGGUUUAAAGGGUCCGUAGGCGGUUUAGUAAGUCAGUGGUGAAAGCCCAUCGCUCAACGGUGGAACGGCCAUUGAUACUGCUGAACUUGAAUUAUUAGGAAGUAACUAGAAUAUGUAGUGUAGCGGUGAAAUGCUUAGAGGUUACAUGGAAUACCAAUUGCGAAGGCAGGUUACUACUAAUUGAUUGACGCUGAUGGACGAAAGCGUGGGGAGCGAACAGGAUUAGAUACCCCAGUAGUCCCUGUCUCUUAUAC